Molecule: ribosomal RNA, 422 nt
Filed under: uncultured Bacteroidota bacterium
Lineage: Bacteria; Pseudomonadati; Bacteroidota
Description: uncultured Bacteroidetes bacterium partial 16S ribosomal RNA
Rfam family: Bacterial small subunit ribosomal RNA
Source: RNAcentral
UGAGGAAUAUUGGUCAAUGGUCGGAAGACUGAACCAGCCAUGCCGCGUGCAGGAAGACGGCCCUAUGGGUUGUAAACUGCUUUUGUAAGGGAGCAAUAAGUCGUUUGCGAACGGUGAUGAGAGUACCUUACGAAUAAGCAUCGGCUAACUCCGUGCCAGCAGCCGCGGUAAUACGGAGGAUGCGAGCGUUAUCCGGAUUUAUUGGGUUUAAAGGGUGCGUAGGCGGGCAAAUAAGUCAGUGGUGAAAUAUCCAGGCUCAACCUGGGGGCUGCCAUUGAUACUGUUAGUCUAGAGAAUAAAUGGAGUAGGCGGAAUAUGUCAUGUAGCGGUGAAAUGCAUAGAUAUGACAUAGAACACCGAUCGCGAAGGCAGCUUACUAAGAUAUUUCUGACGCUGAUGCACGAAAGCGUGGGGAUCAAACA